GUCUAGAGCCAUAGUACCCUCACCGUGCCCAGGUCUCAUCUAAUCUUGGAAGCUAAGCAGGGACAAGCCUCAUUGGUACUUAGGUGGGAAAAAAGAAAACAUUGCUAAUGACUCAUUUGCUGUAGACU
This 128-nucleotide ribosomal RNA is filed under the name Cavia porcellus (domestic guinea pig). The record is from RNAcentral. Lineage: Eukaryota; Metazoa; Chordata; Mammalia; Rodentia; Caviidae.